UACGUAGGUGGCGAGCGUUGUCCGGAUUUACUGGGCGUAAAGAGCGCGCAGGCGGCUGGCCAAGUCCGAUGUGAAAGCUCCCGGCUUAACUGGGAAACUGCAUCGGAAACUGGUCGGCUUGAAGGUGGGAGAGGGUAGCGGAAUUCCCGGUGUAGUGGUGAAAUGCGUAGAUAUCGGGAGGAACACCAGUGGCGAAGGCGACUUCCUGGCCUGUUCUUGACGCUGAGGCGCGAAAGCUAGGGUAGCAAACGGG
RNAcentral lists this ribosomal RNA (253 nucleotides) under uncultured bacterium. RNAcentral describes it as "partial 16S ribosomal RNA". It matches the Rfam family "Bacterial small subunit ribosomal RNA", at positions 524 to 776 of the family's 1533-position model. The record is from RNAcentral.